This 5706-nucleotide long non-coding RNA is filed under the name Equus caballus (horse). Its description in RNAcentral is "lncRNA (ENSECAG00000050092.1)". The record is from RNAcentral. Lineage: Eukaryota; Metazoa; Chordata; Mammalia; Perissodactyla; Equidae.
GCUGCGACCAGCAAGGCCAUAUACUCCCCCUCCCCUACUAAAAGCCCAAAUAAAAACCCUUCCUUUUAGCUUUUCAAGGAGUUUGGGAUUUGAGCGUUAGCUGCCGUCUCUCCUUACUCAGUGCUGUGCAAUAAUAAAAUCCUACUUCCACUACACCUGGUGUCAGAGAUUGGCUUGCUGCACAACGGGUGAGCGAACUCACUUCAGGUUUGCUAUCAAUUUGGUGACCCAGAUGGGACAAUGUCCUAAGUGGAUGUCUCGCCUGUGGCACACUGGCCUCCAGCUAAAGGCCUCUCUUGGAAGCUGUCCUGCAGCUGCCUGAGCCCCUGGUCUCAGGGACAGCCCCAGGCAACUGGCUGCUGACCAGACGUCGUUGGCCCACGGCGCUUUUGCUAUGGUGGUGGAAGAAACUAGGUUCGGGAUCCGAGAAGACGUCUCUUAAAAACUUCUUAUUAAAUACCUGGUUACUUACUUACAUGAUACAGGCCUAACUUCAGGAGCCCACCAGCAUCACCGCCUUAUUAAAAGACUGGUUCAAUGAGAUGAAACGACCUAUGCCCCAUUUCAGCAGGAAGUAGCUAGAUCGGUUGCCACCCCAAAUCCCUCAAGAUUGAGGGACGGACAUAAAAUAGGGGGGAGUUGAUAUCGACCCUGAUAUCAGUUUCCCCACAUUAAACCCAGCAUAUAUGGGGUUAAAACCCAAACACUCAUUCCCUGCUUACUCUCUGGCUUCCUGGCUCCAGAAUCCACUAUCCUCCAUGGAGACAGACACCGUCAAAGACAAGCACCUGGACCAUCUCCUCCCCACAAAGAGAUACAGACUGGUGGGAAAGCUUCUGACCAGCAAGGUCAUGAACUCCCUCCUGUCUGCAAGUGUCUCAAGGCCAGAGACAGGCUGGUGGGAAAGCUCCGACCAGCAAGGCCAUAUGCUCCCCCUCCCCUACCUAAAGCCCCAAAUAAAAACCCUUCCUUUUAGCUUUUUCGGGGAGUUUGGGAUUUCAGCAUUAGCUGCCCUCUCUCCUUGCUCAGUGCUGUGCAAAAAUAAAGUUCCUACUUUCUUCCACCACACCCGGUGUCAGAGAUCGGCUUGCUGUGCAACGGGACUGACAGAGAAUAUGGAUAUUCUCUGUGUGGGCACCUAUCUGUCAGUCCAAGAGGUGAUACCUGGAAGGGCGGGAAGAGAAUGAUGGGGCCGGGCAGAAGAGGAAGCUCCUAGGGGCUCCCUUGAGACCUCCUCCCUCCUAGUUUCCUGAUCAUUCGUCUGCGGGAUGCUCCCAUCUUGCUGUGAGCCCUGGGGCCUGCGUUCCUCUCCUCUCACCAGCUGCCAACACCCCAUCGCCCAGCUCACUAGGUCCCUGGAAGCCACCUAAACGAGCAGCCUAUUUUUCACCAAACUCUUGGGCUAUAAGCAAAAGAGACAUACCAAACUGGCUCAAUAAAAAACAAAAGGAAGAAUUUAAUAUGAGGAUCUGGGAACCCAAGGGUGUAUCAGUUAGCAUUUGCUGCCUGACAAACUACCCCCCAAAACUUCAUGACUUGAACCCACAGCUGUUCAUUUAGUUUGCAAUUCUGCGGGUUAUCCACUGGGGCCAGGCUCAGCCAGGCAGCUCUUCUGCUCCCUGCUGGACUCCCUCACGUGUCUGUGGUCAGCCGGCAGGUCCUCCGGGCCCUGAGUGGGCUUCUACAGCCUCAGCUGGGACGAGUGGCCUCUCCUCCACGUCAUCGAUCAUCCUCUAGCCGGCGGCCCCGGGCCUCUUCUCAUGACAGAGGCUGGAUUCCAAGAGUGAGGGCAGAAGUCGACACGCCUCGCAGAGCCAAGGUCGUGAUCACUUCUGCCACAUUCAGUCGGCCAAAGUGUGUCACACGGCCAGCCAGAGGCAAGGGGGUAGGGACGCUGACUGCACCCACGGACGGGAGGGGAAGAACCCAUGGCUGGUUCUGCCAUCUGGCACCAAAGGCUGGAUGUGUGGUCGGAGAGCAGGAAAGCUGCUGGGCCCAGGGCACCUGCUCGCUGACCCUCAGCCCCAUCCCUCACCCCUUGGAAUCCUCUUCUCCAGGGUCGUGGGACCCACCGUUCUCUCCCUCUGUCUCCAUGCCAAUGGGCGCUCACCGCUUCUCCGUCCACCAUCCCGUGGCUUCCACGUCCACCGCACCUCUGUUCGAGGGACCUGCCAACUGGCCCAGAAUCCUUUGCCUUGUGGCUGGAUUUCCGAUGACCCUGGAGAAGGCGUCCAGUGGGUCUGGUGUCAGCCUCAGUCCCCUUGCUCAAAUCUCCGGGGGCCUCGGACCUGUCUGGGGGGGCUCAGUGCUCAGAAAACAGGGGGCAGGUUUUGCCUUACCUGCUGGGAAGACACCCCAAAAAUAUGUCUUCUACACAUGCAGCUUGGUUUUGCUGCUUUAAAAAAAGGAACUUCCACACACAGAGAAGUGGCAGAAGCGGUCACGACCCCCGGAAAUCAACAGCUUCCUCUCCCUGGAGAAUCCUGAUGGGCGGCAGGCAAUGGGGAAACGAGCGUGGAUGAAACCCCCGUGUGAAUCUAUGCAACAGUUGAGGAACGGUCAGUGCUGCUGUGACCGACACAAAGCCACCGACCACGUCACUGUGAUUAGUAAUAAUAGCAGUAGACCGACUUCAGGUUUCGGCUGAGGGCUGUCUGCGUCCCAGCCACCUCCCUACGUUCCUUAUGGGACUCAUAUGUUGUAUCCUCACUGUACCCAUUGAGGGAAAGAGAAGCCAGCCCCACCUUAGAGACGAAGCAGGUGAGGCUCAGAGAUGGCAAGCGACUUGCCCAAGGUCACACAGCCACAUGUGAUGCCAACUCCAGUCUGCCCAAUUCCCAAGCCUACCCCUUAGACCAGCGUGUCCCGCAGAACUCUCUGUGGUGGUGGAAAUGUGCUCUCUCAGCUCCGUCCAGUGCCUGUGGCUCUUGAGUCCUUGAAAUGUGGAGAGUGUAACUGAGGAACUGAAUUUUUAAUUUAGUUAAUUAAUUUUAAUAUAUAUUGCCACCUGCGACUAGAGGCUAUUGUACCAGACAGUGCAACUCUAAAUCCUAAUUGUUAAAUUGUUAAAAAUAAUAAAUCCCAGGGCUGGCCUGGUGGCACAGUGGUUAAGUUUGCGUGCUCCGCUUUGGCAGCCCGGAGUUCACUUGUUCGGAUCCCAGGCGCGGACCUACGUACUGCUCAUCACACCAUGCUGUGGCAGGCGUCCCGUAUACAAAAUAGAGGAAGAUGGGCACAGAUGUUAGCUCAGGGCCAAUCUUCCUCAGCAAAAAAAAAAAAAAAAAAAAAGGAGGUUGGCAGCAGAUGUUAGCUUGGAGCUAAUCUUUCUCAAAAAUAAUAACUAUAAAAGACCCCCAAGUGUAGAUCGCUGACUCUGUGGCUGUCCUGGGGUCCUCGCCCUGGUCUGUCCAAGGGUCCCAAUUUGCUCGGAAGGCCCUAAUAUCUAACCAGCUCCUUCCCCCCCCAGAUGUCCUGCUGUGCCCUUUCCUCCUGGGGGAAGUGAGUCGCUUCCACCUGGGGAGUGACAGGAGAGGAGCCGGCUCCUGCAGUCAGAGGGGUCAGAGGUGACACUGCAGCCACCGCCUCGGCCACCAACCAGCGUCCAGCUGUCCUCCGGCCGAGGCUCCAGCCGCAACCCCCGUCCUUCGGGACGGCUGAGAAUUCUCGCGAUAUUCCUCCUCCAGUAAACCGGGCCGACUUCCUCCCAGAGGCCUCCUGCCCCUCUGGUUACAAGUCCAGCCCCGGGCUGAGCGCUGUCGGGGUGCUGCCAGGCUUGCAGCACUUGUCACGUCGUGUCCCUAAAUAUCUCACAUUUGGGGUUAUUUUAACUUUUAUCGCAUCCGUUAGACUGUCAGCUCCGUGAGCGCAAGACCCGUCUCUGCCAUACGGUAGGUGCUCCAGAAAUGUUUGUUGAGUGAAUGAAUGAGAGACGAAAACCACACCACGGGGAAAACUCAGAGGGUCCGAAGUGGAGGCGUUGGCCACGGCCCAGACUCUUCUCUGAGCUGGAGUUUCACUGGAAUAACUCGACCCAAGCUCCCCUCACUCUCUCGGUCAGCAAAACAGGCGUCGGGGGCCCCUGGCCUGACCUCUGGUGGAUAAAUGGUCAUCUCACCACGGGAGAACAGCCCAGUGUGGACGGCAGCUGGGGUAGAGAUUGCCCUCAGGGCCCCAGAACUCAUUCUCUCCUCCCUCCAUAGUAACCGGAUCCUCGAUUUUUAGCUGGGCACCUGAUGUCCAAAGGGGAAAAGUCCUAUAUCGUCAUAAGAUGUGAGAAGUGCCAUGUGUGACUUGCAGAAUGUACCCUCAAAAGGAGGGGGCGUCCUUUCCUCUCGGUGGGAAUGGGAAUGUGAUGGCUGGAGCUGAGCAGCCAUGUUGGAUCAUGAGGUGAACGUCGCACGUGGAGGAGGACAGAGGUGUGCUGCACUCGGCUUGUGCCGGCUCACAAGAGCUCACUGUGCACAUCUUCUCCCAAGUCUGCGUGUAAUGAUGACACACUGAUAGCUGGAAACCACCUAUGGUAGUGACGUCUACACUGUGAACAUUGGAAAACGCUGCAAGUCAGGAAUUUUGGGGGAAGAGCUGAUUUACUGCUGGCAAAUGGGAGCCUGGAGGCUCCGUGAAGCCAUCCAACCAGCCCUGUCUUAAAUACCACUGGAUUCCUUCGAGAUGAAAGGAGAAACAAAGCUCUGUCUUACUUAAACCCCUGUUGUCUUAGUUCUGCUUUCCCUGCAGCCCUGAUGGAGAUAGCGAACCCCGAGAUUUAAGCCAUAAAGUCGAAGAUUUAAAGGCCGCUUGGCCAAACCAAGGCCCAAUGGCGAGGAGGGAGCCUGUGACCACAGGUGGGCGUGAACGAAUGGGGCCACCGAGAAAGCGUGAGCUGGGAACAGACAAAAUAAUGUCCCAGCAUCCCCCACGGGGAAAAAGGGAAACUUCCACCAAUUUGUCAAAAGUAAGAGACAUUAGAUAAGAAAACCGAGAGCCCUGCAGCUGUUCUGGUGGUUCUGUGACCACGCAGACAUCACACACUGUGUACCCAGAUAGGAGACAAAAGUAAAGAAAAACUGGAACUUCCCUACAUCACGCGGGCAUUCUGUGCCUCCCCGGUGGCCGUAUCUGUCGUGAGGCGCUCGGCGACCACAGGUGGAAGCAAAGAAGGGGGAGGGGGGAUUUGGCUUCGUGCUGCCCCUGGGCAGCCACUCUCACUUUAGUCAGAGUUGGCUAACUGCUGCAAUAAAUACCUUUAACCCAGUAAAAGUGUGUUUCUCACCCAUGUACAGUCCAGUGGAGGUCACUGGGGACCCAGACUCUGUUCUGUGUCGUCAUUCAGGCACCCAUGCUCCUUCUCGCCUGUGUCUCUGCCCUGCUCUGGGUGACAGGAUCACAAGUGAUAUGAGAACUUCUAAGAAAUGUAAUCUAGCGGAGUUCCUGGAAAUAAGAGGAAAUGGGUUUAGUGAACAGCUAGCCAGUCUCCCUCGUUCUUUUGUGCUUACCCAGUUCUCUGCUGCCACCGGGCAUUUGCACAUGCCAUCCCCUGUGGCCAGAAUGCUUUCCUCUCCUCUCUUCACCCAGUUAAUUCCUACUCAUUUAAAAGUCCCAACUCAGUAAACACCUGCCUGAGUUUCAUCAGCCAGCAAACCUCUCCUUCUCAUUAGGCAUCAAAAAUUGCAUUUUGAAGUGCUGGGGUGAUCUUUUGAUAACGUCUGU